RNAcentral lists this unclassified non-coding RNA (314 nucleotides) under plant metagenome. Its description in RNAcentral is "partial contains 5.8S ribosomal RNA, internal transcribed spacer 2, and large subunit ribosomal RNA". The stretch from base 1 to 104 matches the Rfam family "5.8S ribosomal RNA", at positions 50 to 154 of the family's 154-position model. The record is from RNAcentral.
GAACUGCGAUAGUAAUGUGAAUUGCAGAAUUCAGUGAAUCAUCGAGUCUUUGAACGCACAUUGCGCCCCCUGGCAUUCCGGGGGGCAUGCCUGUCCGAGCGUCAUUGCUGCCCUUCAAGCCCGGCUUGUGUGUUGGGUCGUCGUCCCCUCCGGGGGACGGGCCCGAAAGGCAGCGGCGGCACCGCGUCCGGUCCUCGAGCGUAUGGGGCUUUGUCACCCGCUCGAUAAGGACCGGCCGGGCGCCAGCCGGCGUCUCCAACCUUUUUUUCUCAGGUUGACCUCGGAUCAGGUAGGGAUACCCGCUGAACUUAAGC